RNAcentral lists this ribosomal RNA (207 nucleotides) under uncultured bacterium. RNAcentral describes it as "partial 16S ribosomal RNA". It matches the Rfam family "Bacterial small subunit ribosomal RNA", at positions 568 to 774 of the family's 1533-position model. The record is from RNAcentral.
CGCGUAGGCGGUUGGAUAAGUCAGCUGUGAAAACCACGGGCUUAACUCGUGGCCUGCAGUUGAGACUGUCUGGCUUGAGUGUGGGAGAGGAGAGUGGAAUUCCUGGUGUAGCGGUGAAAUGCGUAGAUAUCAGGAGGAACACCGGUGGCGAAGGCGGCUCUCUAGACCACAACUGACGCUGAGGCGCGAAAGCUAGGGGAGCAAACA